Molecule: ribosomal RNA, 1466 nt
Filed under: metagenome
Description: bacterial SSU rRNA
Rfam family: Bacterial small subunit ribosomal RNA
Source: RNAcentral
AGAGUUUGAUCCUGGCUCAGGACGAACGCUGGCGGCGUGCCUAACACAUGCAAGUCGAACGGAGCAAAGCCCUUCGGGACUUUACUUAGUGGCGAACGGGUGAGUAACGCGUGAGGAACCUGCCUUCCAGUGGGGGACAACAGUUGGAAACGACUGCUAAUACCGCAUGGUGCUUUUGGGGGACAUCCCCUGAAAGUCAAAGCUUUAUGUGCUGGAAGAUGGCCUCGCGUCUGAUUAGCUAGUUGGUGAGGUAACGGCCCACCAAGGCGACGAUCAGUAGCCGGUCUGAGAGGAUGAACGGCCACAUUGGGACUGAGAUACGGCCCAGACUCCUACGGGAGGCAGCAGUGGGGAAUAUUGGGCAAUGGGCGAAAGCCUGACCCAGCAACGCCGCGUGAAGGAAGAAGGCCUUCGGGUUGUAAACUUCUUUUACCAGGGACGAAGGACGUGACGGUACCUGGAGAAAAAGCAACGGCUAACUACGUGCCUGCAGCCGCGGUAAUACGUAGGUUGCAAGCGUUGUCCGGAUUUACUGGGUGUAAAGGGCGUGUAGGCGGAGAUGCAAGUUAGGAGUGAAAUCUAUGGGCUCAACCCAUAAACUGCUUCUAAAACUGUAUCCCUUGAGUAUCGGAGAGGCAAGCGGAAUUCCUAGUGUAGCGGUGAAAUGCGUAGAUAUUAGGAGGAACACCAGUGGCGAAGGCGGCUUGCUGGACGACAACUGACGCUGAGGCGCGAAAGCGUGGGGAGCAAACAGGAUUAGAUACCCUGGUAGUCCACGCUGUAAACGAUGAAUACUAGGUGUGGGAGGACUGACCCCUUCCGUGCCGCAGUUAACACAAUAAGUAUUCCACCUGGGGAGUACGACCGCAAGGUUGAAACUCAAAGGAAUUGACGGGGGCCCGCACAAGCAGUGGAUUAUGUGGUUUAAUUCGAUGAUACGCGAGGAACCUUACCCGGGCUUGAAUUGCAGAGGAAGGAUUUGGAGACAAUGACGCCCUUCGGGGUCUCUGUGAAGGUGCUGCAUGGUUGUCGUCAGCUCGUGCCGUGAGGUGUCGGCUUAAGUGCCAUAACGAGCGCAACCCCUCUCCUUAGUUGCCAUCAGGUUAAGCUGGGCACUCUGGGGACACUGCCACCGUAAGGUGUGAGGAAGGUGGGGAUGACGUCAAAUCAGCACGGCCCUUACGUCCGGGGCUACACACGUGUUACAAUGGCAGGUACAGGGAGACGGUUGUACGUAAGUACGAUCAAAUCCUUAAAGCCUGUCUCAGUUCGGACUGGGGUCUGCAACCCGACCCCACGAAGCUGGAUUCGCUAGUAAUCGCGCAUCAGCCAUGGCGCGGUGAAUACGUUCCCGGGCCUUGUACACACCGCCCGUCAAGCCAUGAAAGCCGGGGACGCCGAAAGUCCGUGACCGUAAGGAGCGGCCUAGGGCGAAACUGGUAAUUGGGGCUAAGUCGUAACAAGUA